This 208-nucleotide unclassified non-coding RNA is filed under the name Hevea brasiliensis (rubber tree). The record is from RNAcentral. Lineage: Eukaryota; Viridiplantae; Streptophyta; Magnoliopsida; Malpighiales; Euphorbiaceae.
AGGAAGAUGCUGCACUAUGGUUAGACCAUACAAAAAUUUUCCAGAAAGGCCUUUGCUUGCGCUUGGGAUGGUUAGCUAACAGCUCUGAUUCUGAUCUUUUCAACAUCUCCCACAUCACUUGAACAUCCUCAUAUCCACAGGUCUGUAUAUCAUUGUGAAGCUUCAGAAGUCCAGCACCAUUAUUGCGAGGCUUGAAACGAGCAGAGAG